This 577-nucleotide ribosomal RNA is filed under the name uncultured bacterium. Its description in RNAcentral is "bacterial SSU rRNA". It matches the Rfam family "Bacterial small subunit ribosomal RNA", at positions 338 to 916 of the family's 1533-position model. The record is from RNAcentral.
CCUACGGGAGGCAGCAGUGAGGAAUAUUGGACAAUGGGCGCAAGCCUGAUCCAGCCAUGCCGCGUGCAGGAUGACGGUCCUAUGGAUUGUAAACUGCUUUUAUACGAGAAGAAACACCCCUACGUGUAGGGACUUGACGGUAUCGUAAGAAUAAGGAUCGGCUAACUCCGUGCCAGCAGCCGCGGUAAUACGGAGGAUCCAAGCGUUAUCCGGAAUCAUUGGGUUUAAAGGGUCCGUAGGCGGUUUAGUAAGUCAGUGGUGAAAUCUCCCCGCUCAACGGGGAAACGGCCAUUGAUACUGCUAGACUUGAAUUAUUAGGAAGUAACUAGAAUAUGUAGUGUAGCGGUGAAAUGCUUAGAGAUUACAUGGAAUACCAAUUGCGAAGGCAGGUUACUACUAAUGGAUUGACGCUGAUGGACGAAAGCGUGGGUAGCGAACAGGAUUAGAUACCCUGGUAGUCCACGCCGUAAACGAAUGGAUACUAGCUGUUGGGUGCAAACUCAGUGGCUAAGCGAAAGUGAUAAGUAUCCCACCUGGGGAGUACGUUCGCAAGAAUGAAACUCAAAUGAAUUGACGG